RNAcentral lists this ribosomal RNA (1497 nucleotides) under Triticum aestivum (bread wheat). RNAcentral's name for it is "partial small subunit ribosomal RNA". Lineage: Eukaryota; Viridiplantae; Streptophyta; Magnoliopsida; Poales; Poaceae. The record is from RNAcentral.
AUGGCGGUCGCGUCGCGCCUGGCGGUGGUGCGGGUGGUCCAGCCGGACGGCGGCGCGGCGGGCGGGAGCAGGAAGGGGCGGCAGGGGUUCGCGGUGGUCGGGCUCCCCGCGGCGGGGCGGAGGGGGAGGCGGCGAGGCGGGGCCGUGGCGGCCAGCCCCCCCACGGAGGAGGCGGCCAAGCUGACGGAGCCGCUCACCAAGGAGGACCUCGUCGCCUACCUCGCGUCCGGCUGCAAGCCCAAGGAGAACUGGAGAAUUGGCACAGAACAUGAAAAGUUUGGUUUUGAUGUCGAAACAUUGCGCCCUAUAACGUACGAUCAGAUCAGUGCUAUACUCAAUGGGCUGUCUGAGAGAUUUGAAUGGGACAAGAUAAUGGAAGAAAACCAUGUUAUUGGUCUCAAGCAGGGAAAGCAAAACAUUUCACUAGAACCUGGUGGCCAGUUUGAACUUAGUGGCGCUCCCCUCGAAACAUUACAUCAAACUUGUGCGGAGGUCAAUUCACAUCUUUAUCAGGUCAAAGCAGUUGGAGAGGAAUUGGGAGUAGGAUUUCUUGGAAUGGGUUUUCAGCCAAAAUGGGCCCUGGCUGAUAUACCAAUAAUGCCCAAGGGAAGAUAUGAAAUUAUGAGGAAUUACAUGCCUAAAGUUGGUACUCUUGGCCUUGAUAUGAUGUUCCGCACGUGCACUGUACAGGUUAAUCUUGAUUUCAGUUCAGAGCAAGAUAUGAUAAGAAAAUUCCGUGCUAGCCUUGCAUUGCAGCCUAUCGCUACAGCAAUAUUCGCAAAUUCUCCCUUCAAAGAAGGGAAACCAAAUGGGUUUCUCAGUUUAAGAAGCCAUAUCUGGACUGAUACUGAUAACAACCGCUCGGGGAUGCUUCCUUUUGUUUUUGAUGACUCAUUCGGAUUUGAGCAAUAUGUGGACUAUGCAUUGGACGUCCCAAUGUAUUUUGUAUACCGGAACAAGACUUACAUUGACUGUACUGGAAUGUCAUUUCGGGAUUUUAUGGCAGGAAAGCUCCCACAGGUUCCAGGGGAGUUGCCCACUUUGAACGAUUGGGAGAACCAUCUAACAACAAUUUUUCCUGAGGUUAGGUUGAAGAGAUACAUGGAGAUGAGAGGUGCUGAUGGUGGACCUUGGAGGAGAUUGUGUGCUUUGCCUGCAUUUUGGGUUGGGUUGUUGUAUGACGACGAAUCACUACAGAGCAUUAUUGACAUGACUGCUGACUGGACAAAGGAAGAAAGAGAGAUGUUGAGACGGAAGGUCCCAGUAACUGGUUUGAAGACACCAUUCCGGGAUGGGUAUGUAAGAGAUUUAGCUGAAGAUGUUCUCCAGUUAGCUAAGAAUGGAUUAGAAAGAAGAGGAUACAAGGAGGUUGGUUUCCUGAGAGAGGUCGACGAAGUUGUUAGAACAGGAGUGACACCUGCCGAGAAGCUUCUGAAUCUAUACGAGACAAAGUGGCAGCGCAGCGUGGACCCUGUGUUCGAGGAGUUGUUAUAUUGA